This 508-nucleotide ribosomal RNA is filed under the name Boldoriella focarilei. RNAcentral's name for it is "partial 16S ribosomal RNA". The stretch from base 341 to 499 matches the Rfam family "Bacterial large subunit ribosomal RNA", at positions 2473 to 2632 of the family's 2925-position model. The record is from RNAcentral. Lineage: Eukaryota; Metazoa; Arthropoda; Insecta; Coleoptera; Carabidae.
AAUGGCUGCAGUAAUUUGACUGUACAAAGGUAGCAUAAUCAUUAGUUUUUUAAUUAAAAGCUUGUAUGAAAGGUCGGACGAAAUAAAAUCUGUCUCUUUUUAAUAUAUUAGAAUUUAAUUUUUAAGUUAAAAAGCUUAAAUUUUUAUAAAAGACGAGAAGACCCUAUAGAGUUUUAUAAUUUUAAUUUAAUAAUUAAUUUAGAUUUAUUAAUUUUAUUUUUUUAAAAUUAUUUUAUUGGGGUAAUAAAAAGAUUUAAAAAAUUCUUUUUUUUAAAAAUCAUUAAUUUAUGAAAAUUUUAUGAUCCAUUAAAUUUUGAAUAUAAGAUUAAAUUACCUUAGGGAUAACAGCGUAAUUUUUUUUAAGAGUUCAUAUCGAUAAAAAAGUUUGCGACCUCGAUGUUGGAUUAAAGAUUAAUUUAGGGGUAGAAGUUUAAAUUUUUGGUCUGUUCGACCAUUAAAUCUUUACAUGAUCUGAGUUCAAACCGGUGUAAGCCAGGUCGGUUUCUAU